This 466-nucleotide ribosomal RNA is filed under the name uncultured bacterium. RNAcentral describes it as "partial 16S ribosomal RNA". It matches the Rfam family "Bacterial small subunit ribosomal RNA", at positions 28 to 507 of the family's 1533-position model. The record is from RNAcentral.
GACGAACGCUGGCGGCGCGCCUAACACAUGCAAGUCGAACGAGCGAGAGAGAGCUUGCUUUCUCGAGCGAGUGGCGAACGGGUGAGUAACGCGUGAGGCACCUGCCUCAAAGAGGGGGACAACAGUUGGAAACGACUGCUAAUACCGCAUAAGCCCACGACCCGGCAUCGGGUAGAGGGAAAAGGAGCAAUCCGCUUUGAGAUGGCCUCGCGUCCGAUUAGCUAGUUGGUGAGGUAACGGCCCACCAAGGCGACGAUCGGUAGCCGGACUGAGAGGUUGAACGGACACAUUGGGAGUGAGACACGGCCCAGACUCCUACGGGAGGCAGCAGUGGGGAAUAUUGCACAAUGGGGGAAACCCUGAUGCAGCGACGCCGCGUGGAGGAAGAAGGUCGUCGGAUUGUAAACUCCUGUUGUUGAGGAAGAUAAUGACGGUACUCAACAAGGAAGUGACGGCUAACUACGUG